AACGUAGGGGCCAGCGUUGUCCGGAAUUACUGGGCGUAAAGAGCGCGUAGGCGGUUUGGUUAGCGGAGGGUGCAAUCCAGAGGCUCAACCUCUGAACUGCUCUCCGAACUGUCCAGACUUGAGUACGGGAGAGGGUAGUGGAAUUCCUGGUGUAGCGGUGGAAUGCGUAAAUAUCAGGAGGAACACCCGUGGCGAAGGCUGCUACCUGGAACGUUACUGACGCUGAGGCGCGAAAGCUAGGGGAGCGAACGGGAUUAGAUACCCUGGUAGUCCCUGAG
Molecule: ribosomal RNA, 278 nt
Filed under: uncultured prokaryote
Description: partial 16S ribosomal RNA
Rfam family: Bacterial small subunit ribosomal RNA
Source: RNAcentral